GAUUAAGCCAUGCAUGUGUAAGUGUAAAUAUAGUAGUUUGGAACUGCGAAUGGCUCAUUAUAUCAGUUAUAGUUUAUUUGGUGAAGUGUACUACUUGGAUAACCGUAGUAAUUCUAGGGCUAAUACAUGAGAAAGUCCUCUGGUGAGGUGUGUUUAUUAGAAUGAAAACCAUAUGCUUCGGCAUGAUAGUGAGUAAUAGUAACCUAUCGUAUCGCAUGCUUAAUGUAGCGAUGAGUCUUUCAAGUUUCUGCCCUAUCAGCUUUCGAUGGUAGUAUAUGGGCCUACCAUG
Molecule: ribosomal RNA, 289 nt
Filed under: Blastocystis sp.
Lineage: Eukaryota; Bigyra; Opalinata; Blastocystidae
Description: partial small subunit ribosomal RNA
Rfam family: Eukaryotic small subunit ribosomal RNA
Source: RNAcentral